This is a long non-coding RNA of Megalobrama amblycephala (Wuchang bream), 1504 nucleotides long. RefSeq lists it as uncharacterized. The transcript is spliced from 4 exons. The record is from RefSeq and is a predicted model, not a curated record. Lineage: Eukaryota; Metazoa; Chordata; Actinopteri; Cypriniformes; Xenocyprididae.
UUGUAAAAGGUGUUUAUUUGCCAAUAACCAGGAUUUGAACCCAAGACGGCAGCAGGAUGCCAGUCAAGAACACUAUCCACUGCCCCACACACUUAUAAUUCAUCAAAGCUUGUCUAAAUCAUUGUCAAUAUUAAUUCAGAGCAACGCAUGCAAGUGACCACUAGGUUUUGUAUUGUUUCGUAGCCUCAGCACAAUCCUGUCAUGUUUGAGCACGCUGAGGUAGAAGGUUUAUUGGCAGAGUAGGUCAUAAUGAGAGAAAACUGCUUCUCAUUCCCGUAGAAUCCCAUUAAAAUGUUAGUAAAGUAUGUCACAUCAUUUAUGUUAAUUAUUCCUAAGCUCCACCUUCUUCAGUCCUCACCUUCUGAUGGAAGGUUUAUAAAGAGCAGCAGACUGCAUGAGCUCUUCACUUUUCUCCCAGCCAAGGACUUCUCUGAACAGGACUGAAAUCAGAUUAUCCUGAAUAAUGGGUGUCAAUGUUUCAAUCGUCAAUAACACUAAUCUUACCUGGUAUUAUUCCACUCAGCGGGACGAAAAUCGGUAUGAAUGCAUCCUUCCUGGCUGCUCGUCGUGCUAUCAGGAGGAAAAGGCAGUCAUUCGCUACCUCUACAUCAGAUAUAAAGAUCACGCACAUAAUAGUUUUAAGUGCGAGUUUAACACCCAUAAAGGCCAAACCACUUUUACCUUAAGUGAAACCAACGGAGGUUCCCAGAUUCAGUUGUACUGCUCCACUGAACGUAUCUCUCAAUACUGUCCCAACUAUGGCAAAAGUUAAGAAAUGAUGUACACUGCUGUGUUGGAGUACAGCCGCAUGGGAAUCCUGGAUCGGAAGCAGCAUGAGCAGCGUCUGGAUGAGGGAAAAUAAAAAAUAUAUUGUCUUGUUCUAUUGUUAUUUCUAAAGUUAUAUUGUUUUGUUCUACUGCUAGAUCAUUUUAGUAAUUUUUAAGCAUUUAUUUCUAGAAAGCAGCAUCAGAAUAAGAGCAUUUAAACUCAAAAUCAGUAAAAAUGUCUAGAAGUACUAUUAAAUUUUCCUGUAGUCACUUCAGUUCACAUGAUGAUAAUGUUGUAAUCUGUGUGUGUUUGGGGUUUAAACAUGUAGAGGGUCAAAAUAUUACAGUUUUUUUUUUUUUUUUUCUUCUUCACAAAACAUGAAUGUUAUUCCAAAUAUAAGAAUGGUGUUGGGUUGUGAUUAAAUGUUGAAAAUAUAUAACACAUCAAAUCUUAAAGCAAAAUUUCAGCUUCUUUUCAGUAGACUGAUGUCCACAUUACUCCCUGAUUAAAACUAAAUCACACUGUGAAAUCAUUUUACUUGUGUGCUAAAUUUAUAAAAAAAAAAAAAUAAAAAAUAAAGGAUUUUUUGAGGAUGUUGUUGAGAUAACAGAUUAUACAAUGUUCUCAAUAAAACAUUGGCACAAUGUUCCAUAAUAACAAAGGAGGAACAUUCUCACAGCCACAUUAGGAAAAUGUUAUGAGGAGUUUUUUUAAUAAAACGUUCUUGUAAUUGUGA